UGGGGAAUAUUGCACAAUGGAGGGAACUCUGAUGCAGCGACGCCGCGUGAGUGAUGAAGGAAUUCGUUUCGUAAAACUCUGUUCUAUGGGAAGAAAAGGACUGUACCAUAGGAGAAAGCUCCGGCGAAAUACGUGCCAGCAGCCGCGGUAAUACGUAUGGAGCGAGCGUUGUCCGGAAUUAUUGGGCGUAAAGGGUGCGCAGGCGGCUUUACAAGUUGGAUGUGAAAUAUUGUGGCUCAACCACAAACGUGCAUCCAAAACUGCAAAGCUUGAGUUAAGGAGAGGUAAGUGGAAUUCCUGGUGUAGCGGUGGAAUGCGUAGAUAUCAGGAGGAAUACCGGUGGCGAAGGCGACUUACUGGACUUAAACUGACCCUCAGGCACGAAAGCGUGGGGAGCAAACAGG
Molecule: ribosomal RNA, 404 nt
Filed under: Fusobacteriota bacterium
Lineage: Bacteria; Fusobacteriati; Fusobacteriota
Description: Fusobacteria bacterium partial 16S ribosomal RNA
Rfam family: Bacterial small subunit ribosomal RNA
Source: RNAcentral